AAAGAGGGCCACGAGCUGCGAAAGGGCGGGAAAGGCAGUUGGAGAAGAGGUAAGCGGUUACUCACUCCAUGGCUGCAGCAAGGAGAGGCGGCGGCGGCCUCGGCUGAAGAAAGAAGGUGGGAGCGGAGAGCGCAGGCGUGCCGAGGUGGAUGUCCGUCUUUUCUCUGUUGCAGAAACCCACCUUGUCCCAUCCACAUCAGGACAUCCCAGCUGGAGUUCAACCUUCAUCCCUUCUGUGGCAGUUAGGAGACUGAAUCAAGGUCCAGAGAAGGUGGAGGAAUCCUGAUACUGAGCGCUUUUAGAGCUGCUUCUGCCUUCCUUGGCUCCUGGCUUUCUCACAUCUUCAGAUUCCAAAGCGCAUCACUCCAGUCUGCUCGUGUCACCACAAGCUUUCUUCCCUUCUCCAGUCAGUCAAAUCCGUCUUCUAAGGAUACUGCUGAUCAUCUUUAGGGCUCACGCCUGUAGU
This 466-nucleotide long non-coding RNA is filed under the name Homo sapiens (human). RNAcentral's name for it is "non-protein coding lnc-NUP62-1:23". Lineage: Eukaryota; Metazoa; Chordata; Mammalia; Primates; Hominidae. The record is from RNAcentral.